Molecule: unclassified non-coding RNA, 86 nt
Filed under: Pseudomonas brassicacearum
Lineage: Bacteria; Pseudomonadati; Pseudomonadota; Gammaproteobacteria; Pseudomonadales; Pseudomonadaceae
Source: RNAcentral
GUAGGAGCAAGGCUUGCCCGCGAUGCAGGCGCCUCGGUUCCCCAAGAGACCGCGUCAUCUUCAUCGCGGGCAAGCCUUGCUCCCAC